RNAcentral lists this ribosomal RNA (170 nucleotides) under uncultured bacterium. RNAcentral describes it as "partial 16S ribosomal RNA". It matches the Rfam family "Bacterial small subunit ribosomal RNA", at positions 337 to 524 of the family's 1533-position model. The record is from RNAcentral.
UCCUACGGGAGGCAGCAGUAGGGAAUCUUUCACAAUGGGCGAAAGCCUGAUGGAGCAACGCCGCGUGCGGGAUGACGGCCUUCGGGUUGUAAACUGCUUUUAUAAGCGAGAAAUAUGAUGGUAACUUAUGAAUAAGGACCGGCUAACUACGUGCCAGCAGCCGCGGUAAU